GCAUGUCUAAGACCCUGGCUGUGGCAAAACCGUGUCUCAAAGCUGAAUCUGCGUAAAGCUCCACAAAACUGUUAGAACCUUUCACCCCCCACGGUUGACUGUAUCUAAUCAUGGAUAUUCCCAGAAAAUCCGUGAUUAAUACAAUCAACCCGACCGGCAUUCAGGCAUGAGCACAUUUGCAUGAACCGCUGGGGCCUCCCCGAUCCGGCGAGCCAAGCUGUCGCAUACCCACCCUCCCGGUAUUCCUGCCGGGCAGAUAGUGUGGGGCUUCGGUGCGGUCCGUCUGAAAGGGGGGAGAGUGCCUCUCCGUUUUGCAAAAAUGCCUGAUACCCGGGCGCGGGGCGGUGGCUGGCUGACAGACUCAUCAACCACGGGACGCGGGCUCUGCCCCGUACCGGUGUUGACGGGUACAGAGGAUCAGGGUUCGAUCCUGGAGAGGUAGCCUGAGACACGGCUGCCACAGCCAAGGUGGGCAGCAGGCGCGCAACGUUCCCAGUGGCUAGGCUGCUGAGGACGUAACGGAACAUAGCAAUGUGGGCUAACUUCGGUUAGUCUGCAAUUGAAAUGGGGGGAUAUCAAAUAUCUCCUCGAGUAACAA
Molecule: ribosomal RNA, 598 nt
Filed under: Arcyria obvelata
Lineage: Eukaryota; Evosea; Eumycetozoa; Trichiida; Trichiidae
Description: partial small subunit ribosomal RNA
Rfam family: Eukaryotic small subunit ribosomal RNA
Source: RNAcentral